Molecule: long non-coding RNA, 167 nt
Organism: Xiphophorus hellerii (green swordtail)
Lineage: Eukaryota; Metazoa; Chordata; Actinopteri; Cyprinodontiformes; Poeciliidae
Exons: 3
Source: RefSeq, a predicted model, not a curated record
GAGGAACAAGGAACACAGGUGGAGUUAAAUACACGGGAGGGUAAUCACAGAAACGAGACACACCUGGGAACAAUCAAGGGGAGGACAGGACAACGAAGAGACUUAGGGACACAGAACACUCUAAAUAAACAAGGAAAAGCACAGACCAUGACACUAAUCUCUUCAAU